AUGACGUUGUCACGUACUAGGUUCUGGCUAUGAUGGCAGCUCUAGGCUGAUAUCGAUACAACACUGAAUGUAACUAUUUAAAAAAGUUAGUAAACGCCCCUGAUAAAACAAAGUAGGUAACAUUUGAAGGUUUUUAAUAGUAUAAGAAUAAACAUACCCGCCCAGUCUGGGGAACGGUAAGUUCACGUAGCCUUAGUAAGCUUUUUAAUGACACAUUGAGGCGAGGAAGUGGCACCGACUUUGUGCUCCCGGUGUGCUGCUGCUGCUGCUCUCCACUUGCUAUUUGCAUGUUUUGCACAUUCAUACGAUCGUUGCCGAGCUAGACAACCGCUUAAGCAAUGACACACGUCUGAAUGACCGAUCCUACUGAGAGCAUUUGCCAAUUCACAUCCAAAUGUUUCUUGAGCAAGCUAAUUGCUACCUACCACCUAGCUGCACAUUGUCAAUGGUAUGGUGAAGAGCUAACGUCUUGGAAGCCCACUGGGUGUCUGACAGGUUCUGACAAUACCCUGAAACGAUCCUUUGAUAUCAUAGGCCGAAGACUGCUUGAACAACUCCUAUUUGAUAUAAUAUGGUCGUCGGAUACAGGUUGCCCCACUGGAAGGAAGACGUUUUAAAAAGCGGCACUAUGCCCGCUGCUACUGUGGAUCACAGCCAAAGAAUAUGUGAGGUUUGGGCCAACAACCUGGAUGAGGAGCUGAAGAGGAUCCGACAUGUUAUUCGAAAGUACAACUACAUUGCAAUGGACACAGAGUUCCCGGGUGUAGUUGCCAGGCCGAUCGGGGAGUUCCGCAGCAACGCUGGCUACCAAUACCAGUUGCUGCGCUGCAACGUUGACCUUCUAAAGAUCAUCCAGCUGGGCCUCACCUUUAUGAAUGAGGAAGGGGAAUAUCCACCUGGAACGUCCACGUGGCAGUUCAACUUUAGGUUCAACCUUACAGAGGACAUGUAUGCCCAGGACUCCAUCGAGCUCCUGACCACGUCGGGCAUUCAGUUCAAGAAGCACGAGGACGAGGGCAUCGACACGCUUUACUUUGCCGAGUUGCUGAUGACCUCCGGGGUGGUGCUCUGUGAGGGGGUCAAAUGGCUGUCCUUCCACAGUGGCUAUGACUUUGGAUACCUGAUCAAGUUGCUCUCUAAUGCUAAACUGCCUGAAGAGGAGGUGGAUUUCUUUGAGAUCCUUCGCUUAUACUUCCCUGUCAUUUACGACGUGAAGUACCUCAUGAAGAGUUGCAAAAACCUUAAGGUAAUGCAUCCCUCCAAACAUUCUGAAUGAGCAGAGCUUUCAGUCUAGCGCUAGGUGAAUUCACUUCACGUCGUCGUGACACAUUGAGCAUGGAGUUAGCAUUGAGUGUAGGCCUCGAUUCUGUAACCAGAGCAGAGGUUAACCAGGAGGUAGCCAGAAGGUACUAAGUGCAGCGUGGGUAUCACCAAUUGUUGGCUGUUCAGAAGGAGACACGUGAUACAUUUUGUGUCAUGUGGUUAAAUGUAGACCUAAUGUGAUUGGCUGUAGUCCUCCUAAUUUGCUUAUUGGGAUUAAUGACCUGUUAUCUCAUCUGAAGUGUGGUAAAUAUUGAUUGGCUACUGGAAAUCAGGCAACCAUUCUCAAAAAGACAGAUGGUAGACAGGCAGUUGCCAGACGGUAACCAGGGAGUUACCAUGUGGUAACCAGGUGGUUACUUGAAGGUAACCAGAUACAUAGCGAAUGGUAACCGAGAUAGUAACCAGAAUGUACCAAAUAGUAACUAAAAAGUUGCCAUUAUAGUACCCAGGAGCUAGCCAUAUAUUAACCAGGUGGUAACUAGGCGGUAACAUGAUGAAAACCAGGAAGUCACCAGACAGUAAGCCGGUGGUAACCAGACAGUAACAUGAUGAACCCAGGCGGUAAACAGACAGUGAGCAGGUGGUAACCAGAUAGUAAGCAUGUGGUAACAUGAUGAACCCAGGAGGUUACCAGACAGUAACAUGAUGCACCAAGGCGGUAAACAGACAGUAACAUGAUGAACCCAGGCGGUAAACAGACAGUAACAUGAUGAACCCAGGAGGUAACCAGACAGUAACAUGAUGCACCAAGGCGGUAAACAGACAGUAACAUGAUGAACCCAGGAGGUUACCAGACAGUAACAUGAUGCACCAAGGCGGUAAACAGACAGUAACAUGAUGAACCCAGGCGGUAAACAGACAGUAACAUGAUGAACCCAGGCGGUAACCAGACAGUGAGCAGGUGGUACCGACAGGUGUGCAGCAGGUGACCGCUGGGUGUGGUUUGGCAGGGAGGCCUGCAGGAGGUGGCGGAGCAGCUGGACCUAGAGAGGAUCGGCCCGCAGCACCAGGCGGGCUCCGACUCCCUGCUCACGGGCAUGGCCUUCUUCAAGAUGAGAGAGGUAGGGCGGAGGCGGCUUUGUAUCCGUCCUCUU
This is an RNA transcript of Gadus macrocephalus (Pacific cod), 2417 nucleotides long. It is a transcript of the gene named CCR4-NOT transcription complex, subunit 7, with no coding region annotated. NCBI's taxonomy places the organism in Eukaryota, Metazoa, Chordata, Actinopteri, Gadiformes, Gadidae. The transcript is spliced from 6 exons. The record is from RefSeq and is a predicted model, not a curated record.